RNAcentral lists this ribosomal RNA (911 nucleotides) under Cladophialophora brasiliensis. RNAcentral describes it as "Fonsecaea brasiliensis LSU rRNA". It matches the Rfam family "Eukaryotic large subunit ribosomal RNA", at positions 34 to 965 of the family's 3401-position model. Lineage: Eukaryota; Fungi; Ascomycota; Eurotiomycetes; Chaetothyriales; Herpotrichiellaceae. The record is from RNAcentral.
CUAAGCAUAUCAAUAAGCGCAGGAAAAGAAACCAACAGGGAUUGCCUCAGUAACGGCGAGUGAAGCGGCAACAGCUCAAAUUUGAAAUCUGGCCUCUCGGGGUCCGAGUUGUAAUUUGUAGAGGAUGUUUCGGGUACCGCCUCGGUUUAAAUUUCUUGGAACAGAAUGUCAAAGAGGGUGAGAAUCCCGUCUUGGACCGGCGGUAGGGCCUAUGUGAAACUCCUUCGACGAGUCGAGUUGUUUGGGAAUGCAGCUCAAAAUGGGUGGUAAAUUUCAUCUAAAGCUAAAUAUUGGCCAGAGACCGAUAGCGCACAAGUAGAGUGAUCGAAAGAUGAAAAGCACUUUGAAAAGAGAGUUAAACAGUAUGUGAAAUUGUUGAAAGGGAAGCGCUUGCAACCAGACUUGAGCGCGGCGGUUCCCCCUUGCUUCUGCUUGGGUUACUCCGCCGUGUCCAGGCCAACAUCGGUUCUGGGGGUCGGUCAAAGGCCUUGGGAAUGUAUCUACCUACGGGUAGACUUAUAGACCAGGGUGUCAUGCGACCUCCCGGGACCGAGGAACGCGCUUCGGCUCGGAUGUUGGCGUAAUGGUUGUCAGCGACCCGUCUUGAAACACGGACCAAGGAGUCUAACAUCUAUGCGAGUGUUUGGGUGUCAAACCCGGAACGCGAAAUGAAAGUGAACGGAGGUAGGAAGCUUCGGCUGCACUAUCGACCGAUCCUGAAGUUUACGGAUGGAUUUGAGUAAGAGCAUAGCUGUUGGGACCCGAAAGAUGGUGAACUAUGCCUGAAUAGGGUGAAGCCAGAGGAAACUCUGGUGGAGGCUCGCAGCGGUUCUGACGUGCAAAUCGAUCGUCAAAUUUGGGUAUAGGGGCGAAAGACUAAUCGAACCAUCUGGUAGCUGGUUCCUGCCGAA